UGUGUUUUAUAUUCUCCCGUAGGUUAAUAAGCAGUGCUUAUAUAGAUAGAUCCUUCCAGUGUUACAAUUGAUUGGGUAGCAUUUUGCAAGAGUACUUAGCAGAGUACACUUCCUCCUUAGCCCUCAAUAGGCGGCAUUGUUGGGCAUGUUUGUAGCAGUUUCCUUAGACUCUAUUCUUCCCACCCCUGUGGGGACAUGGGCUGCCACUCUGUUUCUGCUGCUCUCAUAGAUUCCACAGCCUGGAGAGGCAGACGUGAAGUGAAGAUUCUGCCCCGUCCACGAGCUGGGCCUACUCAGAUGACCAACAUCCUUUCCAACUUUAAGAUCGAUGCUAUCAUUUUAUGAGAGUGUACUUUGAUCAGCCACUCCAUUACCCUGGCUGACAACAGACCGCACGUGAUAAAAUAGCUCAACAUUUCCACACCUCCUCUCAGCCGGCUGUCCUUGCAUCCACGUUCACCCAAUGGAAAAACUGCUGUGGGAAUCACGGAUUUGCAGCUCCCUCAAGCACUAUGGAUUCACUGAAUACUGUCCUUUUUGUAACUGUUUCUGCAGAGAACUGAGAGAGGAAGAUAACUUGUAAAUCAGAUGUGUUAACCUCAAAACCCCCCCCCUUUUUUUUCCUGGCAGCACCCACAGCAUAUGAAAGUUCCUGGGUCAGAUCCUUCACCCACUGCGAGGGGUAUUGAGCCCUUGCUGCCACAGAGGCAAUUCCAGAUCCUUAACCCACUAUGCUACAGAGGGAACUCCAAUCUCACCCUCUAGCCAGGUUCUGUUUAAAUGUUCCAGUGAGUUCCAGCUAUGCUAAGGGACUAAGAGAAGCGUGUCCUAACUCGGGAAGUUGGAGCGUGGCAGCCACAGAACAAUAAGAGCUCCCUAAGGGGAAGGCGCUUCCAGGAAUAGAGCUGAGGACGCGGAGAUCCAGCUACCCCGUCCCUAGGCCGCCAGCAUGUGAUUAUGAAGAGCUGGCAGCGCUGUCCUUGCUCUCGGAAAUUCAGGUUUUCGAGCUCCUUAUCUAGCUGGAGGUUUGUGGUGCAGGACUGAAAGCAGAGUUUGGCUGAAUCCAAAUCCACCGUCUUGGACUUUAUUUUUGAAAGCUUGAAGUCACUUCAUCUGAGCUGGUGCCCGGAGGAUGGGGGCAGGACGUCACCUCUCACUGCUGACGCUGCAGAUGUCGCCUAGUUUGUCACGGAGGAGACAGAGACCCUAAUACACCGAGGGGUGAGAAUUGAAGAGUGCUGCUGGGAUCCUGUGUCAACUUGGUCUUGCCUCGGCCGUCUGGCCCGUCACAGCUGCAGAAAAAGAAUUCCUGCCAAGACGCAGUGCGUUAGGAAUUCGAUCGCCGCGGCUUAGCUCACUGUGGAGAUGUUUGACACGCUGGGUACAGUCUGUACGCACCACACACCCCGACCUGGACAAGCCACAUCACACGCUCAGUGACCCCAUCUGGCUUCUGGCUUAGAUGAGGCAGGUUUUUAUACCAGGGGGUCUCCUGGGGGAAAUCCCCUCCCACCACAGGGCAUUUAUCAAUGUUUGCAUAUUUUGGAGGGAUUGUCACCACGGCUGGGGAUGCUUCAGGCCUCUGAAGGGUGGGGACCAGAGAUCCUGCUAAAUACCCCACAAUGCAGGGGAAAGCAGCCCCCCCCCCGCCCCCGCCUCCACGCUUCUGACAAAGAGCCAUCUGUCCCAAGAUGGCAGGAAUGCCGAGACUGAGAAACCUGAGCCUGGACCAGUCCCCUCUCCCCUUUCCCCACAGCAGUGAGAAUGAGCCCCAAGACCCAGGGGGUGGCAGGACAGGUGCUGACACAUGGGCCUCCUGAGUCCAGCCCCAAGGCACCUGCCUGCAUCCCCGUGGCCUCCUUCAGGCGGCAAUGGGAGCAGGUGUUCCCAACCCUUUUUCCAGCUCAGUUCGGUAGGUGACUAGAAGUGACAGGACACAAGCCAUGGGCCAGAAGCCACCCCCCCCGCCCCCUCCCCCACCACACACCAAGUUCCACCACACAAAAGAAACGUUUGUGCUUCAUGAAGAUUUAGGGAAAAUUCGUACACUUGUCAGAACCUGACAACUAGCCCGAGAGACAGGAAAUGCUGAGGCCAGCGAGGAGUCAGCCGCUGUCGCGGGGCCAGCUCUGGACGCAGCUGCGGAGUGUCGGGGUCUGUGCACGAGGAGUCGUUUCAGUCUGUUACACCUGCAUUAAAAUAUAUGACCACGUGGAA
Phacochoerus africanus (Common warthog) is the source of this 2217-nucleotide long non-coding RNA. RefSeq lists it as uncharacterized. The record is from RefSeq and is a predicted model, not a curated record. NCBI's taxonomy places the organism in Eukaryota, Metazoa, Chordata, Mammalia, Artiodactyla, Suidae. The transcript is spliced from 4 exons.